Molecule: non-coding RNA, 287 nt
Organism: Vicia faba (fava bean)
Lineage: Eukaryota; Viridiplantae; Streptophyta; Magnoliopsida; Fabales; Fabaceae
Source: the annotation of a GenBank genome assembly
AAAAAAAAAGGAAUAAGAAAAAGAACAGAAGAAAGAACAGAGAAAAAAAGAAAAAAGAAAACACUUUUCUAUCAUCCUCUUUAUUAUCACGUUUUGUUACUAAUUUUCUUUUAACAAUCUCCAUACAUCAUCAUCUCUCUAACCAAAAUCUUAUUUUCAAUCCAAAGAAUUCUCAAUUCAAAAAGCCAACACCCUGUGCAGUUUCAUGUACAAACCAUAAACCAGAAACCUGCAAAACUUUUUUCUUCAAACCAUUCAUAUAUACAUACAAAACUAUUAUACCAUAA